Molecule: ribosomal RNA, 2955 nt
Filed under: Triticum aestivum (bread wheat)
Lineage: Eukaryota; Viridiplantae; Streptophyta; Magnoliopsida; Poales; Poaceae
Description: partial small subunit ribosomal RNA
Source: RNAcentral
AUGAACUGCUUGCGCGUCUUCAACCACCGGCUGCACCUGUCGCACCUCUGCAACAACAACAACUACGCCCCCUUCCGAAUCAGUAUGGACGAGCACAGCGUGUUCCCUGCUGUUGGUGUUUCUUUGGCUCCUGCUACUGCUCCUGCUGGUACCCAGGAGGAUGAUGAGUAUGCGGGCGAUUAUGAGGAUGAGGUUGAUCAAAAUCAGAUCUACGAGCAGCCACCAGCACCACCACCAGCAGGUCGACCUCAGGUAUAUAUUCGUAAUGGUAGGCCUGCACCACCACCUCAGGUACGAGAUGAUGUCCAUAUUCCUAAACUAAAAUUGAAUAUUCCACCAUUUGAGGGUAGAUAUGUUCCUGAUAUAUAUCUUACUUGGGAGUUAGAAACUGAACAACGAUUUACAUGUUUACAAUAUCCUGAGGAGAGACGAGUUGCUGCUGCCGUUUGUGCUUUCACUAGUUUUGCAUGUGUAUGGUGGUCUGAACAUUGUAGAUUAUAUCCUAUUCCAACUACUUGGGCUGCUUUGAAAACUGCUAUGCGUACGCGUUGGGUUCCACCAUAUUAUCAACGUGAAUUGCUUCAAAAAUUGCAGCGUUUAAGACAAGGGAAAAAUUCUGUAGAAGAAUAUUAUCAGGAAUUACAAACUGGCAUCAUUAGAUGUGGUAUUGUUGAGGAGAAUGAAGCUAUGCUUGCACGUUUUCUGGGUGGAUUAAAUAGAGAGAUUCAGACCAUUCUAGACUAUAAGGAGUAUACUAAUAUCACUCGUUUAUUCCAUCUUGCUUGUAAAGCUGAACGUGAAGUGCAGGAUCGACAAGCAUUGGGGCGAACUAACUUUUCUGCAGGCCGACCUUCAUCAUGGACACCACGUGCAUCUUCUACUUCAACUACACCAGCACCUCCAUCCGGUGCCACCUCCAGCCAUGAUACAAGAAAACAGGCACAACCACCAUUAUCUGCCAAGAGCGCACCUGCGGGGCCUCCACAGCGUUCUUCUUCUUCCAUGGCAUCAACAGGGCACACAAGUGAUAUUAUUUGUCGUCGUUGUAAGGGAGGAGGUCAUUAUGCGAGAGAAUGCAAAUCUCCGCGUGUGAUGAUUGCUACCGCGGAUGGUGGAUAUGAGUCUGCUAGUGACUAUGAUGAGGAGACUUUGGCUCUUAUUACACGUGAAGAACAUGGUGGAGAUGAUUCUGAUCAUGAGACGCAAUACAUGGCUCCUGAAGACGCUGACAGGUAUGAAUGUUUAGUUGCUCAACGUGUUUUGAGUGUGCAGGUCACACAAGCUGAGCAAAAUCAGAGGCACAAUUUGUUCCAUACCAAGGGAGUUGUGAAGGAACGUUCUGUGCGCGUCAUCAUAGACGGAGGAGCUGCAACAACUUGGCUAGCAUGGAGAUGGUGGAGAAGCUUUCUCUCACCACACGACCACAUCCACAUCCUUACUACAUCCAAUGGUUUCAAGAACAGCGGCAAGGUUAAGGUAACACGUACUGUUCGUGUGCAUUUUAGUAUCUCUACAUAUGCUGAUUAUGUUGAUUGUGAUGUGGUACCUAUGCAAGCAUGUUCCUUAUUACUUGGUAGACCAUGGCAAUUUGAUAAAAAUUCUGUACACCAUGGUAGAAACAAUCACUAUACUCUUGUUCAUAAGGAUAAAAAUAUUACUUUGCUUCCUAUGACUCCUGAUUCCAUUUUGAAAGAUGAUAUUAAUAGAGCUAAUAAAGCACAACAGGAGAAGAAUAAGAGUGAAAAUCAGAUUGUGGCAAAAGAAUUUGAGCAAAUAAUGAAGCCUAAUAAUAAACCAUCUAGUGUUGCUUCUGAAAUUAAAUUGAAAAGUGCAUGUUUAUUUGCCACCAAAUCUGAUAUUGAUGAGCUAGAUUUCAGCAAAUCUGUUUGCUAUGCUUUUGUGUGCAAAGAGGCAUUAUUUUCAUUCGAGGACGUGCCUUCCUCUUUGCCUCCUGCUGUCACUAACAUUUUGCAGGAGUUCGCUGACAUUUUUCCACAAGACGUGCCACCGGGAUUACCGCCUAUUCGAGGGAUUGUGCAUCAGAUUGACUUAAUUCCCGGUGCUUCACUGCCAAACCGUGCACCAUACCGUACCAAUCCAGAGGAGACGAAGGAGAUUAUGCGUCAAGUACAAGAGCUUCUCGACAAAGGUUAUAUACGCGAAUCCCUUAGUCCUUGUGAUGUUCCUAUUAUUCUAGUGCCGAAAAAGGAUGGUACAUCACGUAUGUGUGUUGAUUGUAGAGGCAUUAAUAAUAUUACUAUUCGUUAUCGUCAUCCUAUUCCUAGGCUAGAUGAUAUGCUUGAUGAAUUGAGUGGCUCUACAAUAUUCUCCAAAGUUGAUUUGCGUAGUGGCUACCAUCAAAUUCGUAUGAAAUUGGGAGAUGAAUGGAAAACAGCAUUUAAAACUAAGUUUGGAUUAUAUGAGUGGUUAGUCAUGCGUUUUGGGUUAACUAAUGCACCUAGUACUUUCAUGAGAUUAAUGAACGAAGUUUUACGUGCUUUCAUUGGACGAUUUGUGGUAGUUUACUUUGAUGACAUAUUGAUUUAUAGCAGAUCUUUGGAAGAACAUUUGGAACAUUUACGUGCUGUUUUUAUUGCUCUACGUGAUGCACGUUUGUUUGGUAACCUUGGGAAGUGCACCUUUUGCACCGACCGAGUAUCUUUUCUUGGCUAUGUUGUUACUCCACAGGGAAUUGAAGUUGAUAAAGCCAAGAUUGAAGCUAUUGAGAGUUGGCCACAGCCCAAAACGGUCACACAAGUGAGGAGUUUUCUUGGCCUCGCUGGAUUCUAUAGGCGUUUUGUGAGAGAUUUCAGCACCAUUGCUGCACCUCUCAAUGAGCUUACAAAGAAAGAUGUGCCUUUUCUUUGGGGUAUCGCACAGGAAGAAGCCUUCACGGUAUUGAAGCUAGCUCCGUUCGUCUUUUGUUGUUGCAGGAGGCGCAUGGAGGAGGAUUAA